CACGUAGGCGGACUCUUAAGUCGGUGGUGAAAUCCUGGAGCUCAACUCCAGAACUGCCUUCGAUACUGAGAGUCUCGAGUCCGAGAGAGGUGAGUGGAACUGCGAGUGUAGAGGUGAAAUUCGUAGAUAUUCGCAAGAACACCAGUGGCGAAGGCGGCUCACUGGCUCGGUACUGACGCUGAGGUGCGAAAGCGUGGGGAGACAAACGA
This 209-nucleotide ribosomal RNA is filed under the name uncultured bacterium. Its description in RNAcentral is "partial 16S ribosomal RNA". It matches the Rfam family "Bacterial small subunit ribosomal RNA", at positions 568 to 776 of the family's 1533-position model. The record is from RNAcentral.